Long non-coding RNA from Triticum dicoccoides, 347 nucleotides. RefSeq lists it as uncharacterized. NCBI's taxonomy places the organism in Eukaryota, Viridiplantae, Streptophyta, Magnoliopsida, Poales, Poaceae. The record is from RefSeq and is a predicted model, not a curated record. The transcript is spliced from 3 exons.
UCCCAUCUCCCCUGCCACCCCCUUGCCACGGGCCCGCGGCCGGAACCCUAGCUCCGGAGAAGUGGUUGCUGCAGGCGAGGAGAUCUCUGAUAUAAGCUAGCUUCGCCGCCUCACAGCUGCAGCAAGACCCUGAAUUGGGCAGCAUCGUGAAGGACAAGACUUGGAAUGGAUCCUGAAAUGAGGGAUCGUGUUAGGAAGAGGGAGGAGGAGGAUGACGAAAUGAUGUUAUUUGUUUUCCCUGCACUACAUUUGAUAGAGACCGAUGGAGUUGCUCUUAGGGAGCGGAGGAUUCCGCGUCAUACAUCAUCGCUAACAGGCGAGAUGUUUGUUAAGGAGUUACUCGAAGG